RNAcentral lists this ribosomal RNA (474 nucleotides) under uncultured bacterium. Its description in RNAcentral is "bacterial SSU rRNA". It matches the Rfam family "Bacterial small subunit ribosomal RNA", at positions 335 to 802 of the family's 1533-position model. The record is from RNAcentral.
ACUCCUACGGGAGGCAGCAGUGGGGAAUAUUGCACAAUGGGCGCAAGCCUGAUGCAGCCAUGCCGCGUGUGUGAAGAAGGCCUUCGGGUUGUAAAGCACUUUCAGUCGUGAGGAAGGUGGUAGUGUUAAUAGCACUAUCAUUUGACGUUAGCGACAGAAGAAGCACCGGCUAACUCCGUGCCAGCAGCCGCGGUAAGUACGGAGGGUGCGAGCGUUAAUCGGUAAUUACGUGGGCGUAAAGCGCAUGCAGGUGGUUGUUAAGUCAGAUGUGAAAGCCCGGGGCUCAACCUCGGAAUAGCAUUUGAAACUGGCAGACUAGAGUACUGUAGAGGGGGUUAGAAUUUCAGGUGUAGCGGUGAAAUGCGUAGAGAUCUGAAGGAAUACCGGUGGCGAAGGCGGCCCCUGGACAGAUACUGACACUCAGAUGCGAAAGCGUGGGAGCAAACAGGAUUAGAUACCCCUGGUAGACUGUCA